AAGAACCGAUCACUCUCCAUCUCUCAUUCACUAUCAUCUUUUUUGAAGACCUCUCAAAGUGUUCUCUCCAUUUUUCAAGCCCAAGAACACCAAGGAAACUUUGAGGCUAAGUCUUGGUCUAGGAAGUAUUUUCCCUAAGGUAAACUUUCACUAAUCUAGGUUUUUGUAAAGUUUUAAGCAUAGAGUUUCAAAUAGCUAAUUGACUAUGUUGUUGGGGGAAGUUUGUUAAGGUUUUUGAAAGGUUUUGAAGGAGUCAAAGCUUAUAGGAAGGUCCAAACCUUAAGCAAGAACACCAAAGAGUAUUGGCUAAGCGUAACUGGACUGAACGUUGGAGGGUGAAACCCUGCUGAGCGCUAAGGACUCCAAGUAAGAGCAAGGGCAAGGCAGAGCAGUGAGCGCUGGAGUCUUCCUUGCAAAUGUACAUGUGGACCGACCUUUUGGGAAGCCGUUUUAUUUUUGGAAAUGUUGUGUAAUUUUCCUAAACUAGGCUCACUCUACUCUUUAUAAAACAUGUUUGUAACUAAAUGUUAAGUAUGGCCAUACGACUUUUUAAAAAGUUUUUUUUUUUCUAUGGGUUUUUGAGACAUUUUGUUAAAUGAAAACAUUUAUAU
This is a long non-coding RNA of Humulus lupulus (European hop), 611 nucleotides long. RefSeq lists it as uncharacterized. The record is from RefSeq and is a predicted model, not a curated record. NCBI's taxonomy places the organism in Eukaryota, Viridiplantae, Streptophyta, Magnoliopsida, Rosales, Cannabaceae. The transcript is spliced from 3 exons.